UUUGAUAAUUAGAUCUCUCCCUCACGUCUUUGUUGAUUUUUCACAUGCUUUUUCUUGUAUCCCAAGGCUGACUUUAAAAACUACUUUGGUUCCAGUACAUACAAUGCAGAUUUUGAUGGGGAUGAGAUGAAUGUGCAUUUUCCACAAGAUGAGAUUUCACGAGCUGAGGCCUACAAUAUUGUCAAUGCCAACAACCAAUAUGCUAGGCCUUCUAAUGGAGAUCCACUUCGAGCUUUAAUCCAGGAUCAUAUUGUCAGUUCGGUUUUGCUCACAAAAGGGGACACUUUUAUGGACAAAGAUGAAUUCAAUCAGCUUCUUUUCAGUUCUGGCGUGACUGACAUGGUUCUGAGUUCUUUUUCUGGACAAUCUGGCAAGAAAGUCACACAAUCAGCUUCUAAUGCAGAGCUGUUGACUGUCACUCCUGCUAUUUUAAAACCAGUGCCUCUUUGGACUGGAAAGCAGGUUAUCAUAAUACUCCCUGUUAUAUAUAUAUAUAUUUUUUUUUGUAACACAACUUUCAUUAACUUCAAAUUCAAAAACUACAAAAACAAGAUGGAAGUAAACAUCCUCUUAGAAGCAAACCAUAAACUACAAUAGCAAAGGAAAUUCAACUCGAGAAGUCUUCAUAUGAUGUUGACAGCGAAUUCAAGACAAAGCUGGAAUGCGCGAUAAAGCCUGCUAUAUUUUAUUUAGUUUAUAGUUUUGUUGGUUCUCUAACCAAUCUGGUUUUCUGGUCAUGUUCUAGGUCAUCACUGCUGUGUUGAAUGUGAUAACCAAAGGUCAUCCGCCAUUCAGCGUAGAGAAAGCUACCAAACUUCCUGUUGACUUCUUCAAACGUAGAACAAGAGAAUCCAACAAAAACAAGUCAUGGAAACAUGAUCUUGAUGAAGAUAAACUGCUCAUCAGGAAAAACGAAUUUGUCCGCGGUGUGAUUGACAAGGCUCAGUUUGCGGACUAUGGGUUGGUUCACACAAUGCAUGAGCUCUAUGGUUUAAAUGCUGCAGGAAACUUGCUUUCUGUUUUUAGUCGUCUCUUCACGGUCUUCCUUCAGGUUUUGUUUGCUCUCAGUUUAUUUUCAUUUUGUUAUAGAGUUUUGAAAAUCGUGAACCUUUUGUUUCUAACUUCUUUCAGAUUCACGGUUUCACCUGUGGAGUUGAUGAUCUUAUUAUUUUGAAAGAUGUGGAUGAAGAGAGGACCAAGCAACUUCAAGAAUGUGAAGGUGUUGGUGAAAAAGUCCUACGUAAGACCUUUGGCAUUGAUGUUAAUGCUCAGAUAGAUCCUCAGGACAUGAAAUCUAGCAUUGAGCGACUUCUUUACGAGGACGGGGAACCUGCCUUGGCAUCUUUGGACAGGAGAAUCGUCAGUGAGCUCAACCAGUGUUCAGGAAAGGGGGUGAUGAACGAUUUGCUCUCUGAUGGGUUGCUGAAAACACCUGGAAGGAAUUGUAUAUCUCUGAUGACAAUAUCUGGAGCUAAGGGCAGUAAGGUGAGUCUUUCUUCAGUAUGCUUGUUGUUGUUCGUGUUGCACGUUAUUUUUCACUAUUUGUUUCUCAUGUUGCCGACUCUCUGCAGGUUAACUUCCAACAAAUCUCUUCUCACCUUGGCCAGCAAGAUUUAGAAGGAAAAAGAGUUCCCAGAAUGGUUUCUGGGAAGACAUUACCUUGUUUCCAUCCAUGGGACUGGUCGCCUAGAGCUGGAGGUUUUAUUAGUGACAGAUUCCUUAGUGGUCUCAAGCCACAAGAGUAUUACUUCCAUUGUAUGGCUGGACGAGAAGGGUUAGUAACACUUCCUCCUUUUAAAGUUUACUUUGUUCCUGUAACAUAAAUCUUUUGAAAAUGGUUUGUGUAAAAAUUUUAUUCAUUUUAAGUCUUGUGUUGUAUUUGUGUUAAGAGUCUUUGCCAUCUUUGUUGUGGCGCAUUAAUUGUAAACAUUUAGAACAUUCUGUUUUAUAGGUUAGUUGAUACUGCAGUGAAGACAUCACUUAGUGGGUAUCUGCAGAGAUGCUUGAUGAAAAAUCUCGAGAGCCUGAAAGUCAACUAUGAUUGUACAGUCCGGGAUGCUGAUGGGUCCAUCAUUCAAUUCCAAUAUGGUGAAGAUGGCGUGGAUGUUCAUCGGUCUAGCUUCAUUGAAAAAUUCAAAGAACUUGCACUAGUAAGCAUUCCAUUUUCAAAACACUUUAGCCUUUUCCUUUUGGAAACUUAUGUUGUUAUUCAUUUAACUUGCUUUGAUUCAGAAUCAAGAUAUGAUCCUUGAAAGAUGCAGUGAAGACAUGCUAUCUGGUUUCAGUAGUUACAUAACUGAUCUGCCUAUUACUCUUGAGAAGAGAGCUGAGAAGCUUGUAGAGUCAAUGCCUAUGAAUGAGCGUAUUGCUACCAAAAUGGUGAGACAAGAGGAUCUACUGAAGCUGGUGAAAUCAAAAUUCUUUGCAAGUCUUGCCCAGCCAGGGGAGCCUGUAGGUGUACUUGCUGCACAAUCUGUAGGAGAGCCAUCAACACAGAUGACUUUGAAUACUUUCCAUCUUGCUGGACGUGGAGAGAUGAAUGUGACACUCGGAAUCCCACGUUUACAAGAGAUAUUGAUGACUGCUUCUGCAAACAUUAAGACACCCAUCAUGACUUGCCCUUUGCUCAAGGGUAAAACAAAGUAUGUUGGAUAAUUAUGCUAUUUACAAAAUAUGAGAAAUAUUAUAGAUGUUUCAUGUUUAAAUAUUCUCUACUUAUCUGUCAUUUGUGCAGGGAUGAUGCAAGCCAUAUUACUGAUAAAUUAAGGAAGAUUACAGUAGCAGAUAUUAUAAAGAGUAUGGAAGUAUCCGUUAUACCAUUCGCAGUUUAUAAAAAAGCUAAAGUUUGUCGAUCUGACCAAAAAAAGAAAAAAAGUAGAGUUUGUAGUAUUCACAAGCUUAAGAUAAAUCUAUAUAAGCCAGAGCAUUAUCCGAAGCACACUGAUAUUACUGAUGAGGAUUGGCAAGAGACAAUGAAGGUUAGGUAUUUGAGGAAGCUGGAAGAUGCUAUACAGAAACACAUGACAAUGCUCUGUAGAAUCAGGGGCAUAAAGGUUAAGAAAGUCACCGGUCCAAAAGCUGGAAAUGAUACGAAGAAUAAUGAUUCUGCAAGUGGAAAGCAGACUCAAGAUGAUGAUGAUUCUGCUAGUGGAAAGCAGAAUCAAGAUGAUGAUGAUGAUGAUGAUGAUGAUGAUGAUGAUUCUGCUAGUGGAAAGCAGAAUCAAGAUGAUGAUGACGAUGAUGAUUCUGCUAAUGGAAAGCAGACUCAAGAUGAUGAUGCUGAUGAUGAUGAUGAUGAUGAUGAUGAGGGUCUUGGUGCAGAGAAACGGAAGAAGCAAGCAGCAGAUGAGGAUUAUGAGGAAAGUUCCGAAGAUGAGAAGAACGAAACAUUGUCAACUAGUGGAGUAGAUGAUGACACUGAGAUGGACAGUGAGGAUGAGAAUGAAGAAGUUAGCAAGGAAGAGACUCGGGAACCCAAAAAAAAAGAAGCGAGAGAUAUUUGUUAGACAUAAGAAAGACAGACAUAUCUUUGUGGAAGGCAAAGGAGCGACAUUUGAGGUCCAUUUCAAGUUUCUUUCAAAGAAGCCUCAUAUGUUACUUGCUCCGGUACCUUGUUCUUGAAGCUAUUAUCUUUAUGACUCUGUUGUUUUAUGCUAAGCCCUAGGUGUUUUAUACUUCUUCUUUUUUGACACGCAGGUUGCUCAGAAAACAGCACAGAAGGUUUACAUCCACAACUAUGGGAGAAUCGAACGGUGCACAUUAGCUAACUGUGGUGAUCCUCAAGUGAUAUACCAUGGAGACAAACCAAAGGAGAGAGAAGACAUCUCCAACGAGGAAAAGAAAGCCUGGUCAGCUCUCCACGCAUCAGGAGUUGAUUUCUCUGAUAUCUGGGAGUUUCAAGAUAAGCUUGACGUUAGGUACUUGUACAGCAACAGCAUUCACGACAUGCUCAACACAUUUGGAGUUGAAGCGGCAAGAGAGACCAUAAUCAGGGAAAUAAACCACGUUUUCAAAUCAUACGGUAUAUUAGUAAGUUUCAGACACUUGAACCUCAUCGCAGAUUACAUGACCUUUUCUGGUGGAUACCGUCCAAUGAGCCGUUUUGGAGGAAUUGCAGAAUCAACUUCUCCAUUCUGUAGAAUGACAUUUGAGACAGCCACUAAGUUUAUUGUCUAAGCAGCUACCUAUGGAGAAGUUGACAGGCUAGAAACUCCCUCUGCUAGAAUAUGUCUUGGUUUGCCUGCGCUUUCAGGAAUGGGUGGCUUUGACCUGUUACAGAAUAGAGGUCUGAUUAGUGUGUUAAAACCUAGCGUGGAGCAGAAUUUUGUCUAAUUUAAAAUAUUUGUCGUACUAAAAGUUUUGUUUUACAUUUUAUUGUCCAAUAAAUGGAUAGAUGUACCUGCCGACAAAUUGAGAAAACGUUUGUGGAUGGCAAGAGCUGCAUUUUAGUGAGUUUUCGAUCAAAGCAAAAGAAAAAAUGAAAUGGAUGUAGCAACCUCGUUUUUAUUGGGUUAAUUUUCUGAGUAACCAAUUUUGAAAGAGGAAUUAAAAAUAUAUCACCAAUUUUUACGGUAUUAAUUCAAUAACAUUUAACACAUAUUUGAGCCAGUUAUACAUUUGUCUCUCCAGGUAAUCGAUGACAUAAAAAGAACAAAUGACGUCGAUGAUGAAGAACAUGUGAACGAGAAAAAGAGAUUAUGUAGUUGAUGAUGAAGUGAGUAUUGGAUCAUUGAUUAUAUGGUCUUGUGGUAGUAGUUAUGGUGGAAGACGGCGUACAAGAAGGAUGAGAUGUAAUCGAAGUUCUCUCAUUAUAAUUUAUUAGAUCAUCUUCCGCGCGAACCUUUUAAAAUUUUACAAUUAGUUUUGUUAUUUAAUUAUAGAAUAUUGCAGAAUUUUCAUAUGUACAUAAACUAUGUACUAUGUAAAAUAUAGUAUAUGAGGGGAGACAUGGGUUUUUUUUUUGUUGUUUUAGUGUUUCGUAUAUUUUUAGCAUUUUUGCAAUUAGAUUCUUUUUAUUAGUUUGCCAAAAUACCAAAACUGAGUUUAAAAUAGAAAAAUAGUUUGGAUGAUGUUGGAAGUUGUCCGUUAGUGUUUCCUCGAUUAUUGUGUUUUAACUUCUUCUGAGCUGAGCGAUAGAUAGAAGGUGUAACUCUAACUCAUGUAUUGAAUCUGAGUUAACGUUAUUAAAACAUAAAUUUUCCAGAAAACUUGUGAAAUUGUUUUCCAUUAAUUUUCAUCUCAAAUUAUUUUUCUAAUAGUAUAAAAUUUCUUCAAUCUUUUUUAUAACGUCAUCAUUUUAUUGAUUUCAAAUCAAUGUAACAGAUUACAUGGAACAUGAAUUACUAUGGUCGUACAACUAUUUGCAUCCUUUAUAAGUUCCAUAACACUUUAAAUAGAAUAAAAUCGGACAAAAACAGAUAAAAAAGCGCUUCCCAAUUUAUUUCGUUAAUUUUUUUUUGUUGCCUAUGAAAAAAAUGAGAUUUCUAUUUAGUAGUAGUUGUAAUCUCGAGUAAUUUGUCUCUUUUAAAUUGUCAAAUGGUUUUAUUGGAUUAAUGUACUGAUAUAUAUAUAGUACAAAAUUAAGUUACUCUUAAACGAUUACAUCCACUGAUCAAGAAACAACAUGUGGCCUAUUAAUCAAUAUGUAUUAACAUUUAAAUUUGUUUUCGUUUCUAUCCUUGUAUAUUCUGGGAAUAAUGUUUGUCACCACAAUAAAUUUAUAUUUCCGGUUACUUAUGCUUUGCAGCUCCCUGAAUAGAGAUGUUUGGUUGUUCCAAAAUGUAUAUAUUUUUUGUUAGAUUUUAUUAUUUAUGUUUCUAUAGUAGUUAUUUGUUAUUAUUUUUACUUUUUUUGUAUAUAUACACAUUAAUUUUUCUUUACAAAAUUUGCUUUGUUUUCAUUAAUCAUUGACCGUUUUUAUCCCAUAUGAAUAAUUUUUUUUCCUAACUCUACUCGAAAUGUAGUCAUAAGGUUAUUAGUGUAUGGUGAAAACUUCGUUCAUAAUUUUGUCAUGUCAUCUCUGUCACACCUUUGAAAUAAUGUUCCUAUAUAGUAGUAAUUUCAGUUACGGAGAAAAAUACAUUUUGGACAGUAAAAGUAAUCAUGGUCAUAAGCUGUCAAAUACGUUUCCAAUAUCUUAAUCUUGUUCAAGUCCUGGUCUUCAACCCAUUUGUAAACUUCAUAUCGCUCUGUUGUUCAAUUUUAAUUGCUCGGCCUAUACAUCUUUGCCAAAAAAAAAGCAGACAAAAAGCAUCACACAAAGAACUUUCAAGUUUUUCAACGUGUUAAACUAUUUCAUGCUUCUCCAAUUUAUGAAAGGCCGUUUGGAAUUUAGGGAACGUUAGAUAUUGCAAGCAUGCAAUAUAACUGUCAACUUUCAUCAGUUUCUGAGAAAGAGAAAAGUUAGAAAAUAAAUAUAUUUGUAUAUAUGUUUUUUUUUUGCUUUAAAUUUGGUGAAUAUAUGUAUGUUGUAUUUAGAUUUUAACUAAUUUAGUUCUUCUUAUAUUUAAUGACUCACUUGCCCGGGGUUUUCAAAUAAAAUUUAAUUAAAUUGAGAUUUGUUUACUUAUAUUUUAAUAUCUGUUAUAUAUAUAUUUCUACCAAUUACAAAAACAUAAAUUAGUAGAUUUAAAAUUUUAAUGUAUUUUUGUCUGACAAAUUUAGAAUGGCAAGAGCUCACAAUUGGUUGUAACUUUAAUACUCUAUUAAAUUUUGCUGUAAUUUUAUGUUUAUAUAAUAAAGUAAAAGUAAAAAAAGAAUAACUCAUUAUUUGUUAUAGUUUUAUUAUUGGAAUCAUAUAUGAUGAAAACGAUGAAUAUAAGUUAAUUAAACUUUAAUUAUAAUCUUUGUACUCUUAAUCUUAGAUAAUUUAGGCUUUUAUAUACAACAAUCAUUAGCUUAUAAUUGAUUUAAACUUUGUUUUGUCUUUAAUAUUAUUGAAUUCCAAGAUAGAAAAUAUUAUUUUAUACACUUUUGACCUUAUGACUUCCAAACAUUACUUUUUUUUGUAAACACUACUUCCAAACUAAUAUAGUGAGUAAUAUACAAAAAUCUUAGUUGGAAUCAUUUUAUUUCUUCGUACCAGUAUGAAAGUUCUGAUAUCAUUUGAAUUUGAAUAUGAUGUAUUUAAACUCAUUUGCCACCAAUUGAGAUAGUUGAAAAGAGAGAAGUUUGAUCACCUCGAAAAUUCUAAAUAUCCUUAUUUAUUGUAAAAAUAGAUAAUCAACGUAAUUUUCACUACACAUCAGUUCAUUGCGUCCAAAGUAUCAGUCGAGUGUUCUAUUUGAGGUGUCCCGUUACUUUUUUUCCUCUCAUAUUCCAUCACCCUCUUUUCUUUCAGUCCUCAGUUCUGGUUUUGAUUUGAUCCACUUCGUUUCUCACAUGCAUGUUCUUAUAGAGUAUAAUGACCACCAACGCUAAAAUUCUCUUGAAUAUAUUCUUCAUGAACCAUAUAGUACCACGACUCAGGAUUAUAAGCGAGUAAAAUCAGUAAACCAAAACUAAGACCAUUCUCCUUGCAAGAUGCAUGAGAAUCUCCCUAGUCAGUAUCUAUUCAUUUUUUUUCCUUCAAAUUUUGUUGAUCAUUCACUUGGCUCUCUUGAGCCUCUCUUCUUUUCUUCUCAAGAUAACUUGGCCACCCAAUGGUGACUCUCGGCUCUGUUUUCUCUGCAGCUUCUCACCUCUGCCAGCCAAUGUUACAUCACUGUUUCUGUUCAUGCGUAUUCUUUUGCACCUCUCAAAAUCUGAAUAUAAGUGUUCCUGAAAAUUUUCUAGAGUAUUAGCUACGAUAUUUUUUGAAUCAAAGGAAACAUGUUAGUUCAAGAACUUAGAAUCAUACAGUGUUGGAAUCAGUAAAACAGGACUUGUCUAAAUGAGUUAGCUCAAGUUCAGAAUACUCGUCCAGAAUAGCACGCCUUGUAAUGAAGCACUACAUAUUUUAUAGCUUAGAGUCCCCGUAAUAUGUCUUCCAAGAUAUUAAAAUUAGGUGACCAUAUUCCUUUCAAAGUAGACAAAAUUAUAGUGGAAGUACGAACUAUUGUUAAUUUUAUUAUAUUGCAACAGAACAACUUAAACAUAAAAGAUUUUGGAUAUGAAGCUUACCAGCUUUUUCUUUACUUGCCGGUUCUAACUUAACCGUUGGAGUGGUAGUGUAAAGCAACUAACAAUCUCUACAGCUAACAAUUAUAACAUAGACUGAACUGAAAAACAUUUCAAAAGUUCCUCUUUCUAUAAGUUAAGUUAUCACCAGAUGAGAGAUCAUUUCUUCCCUUCUUCAUACUUGUGAUCAUGUGAAUCUCGACACAAUGAGCUACAGUUAAAAAAAAAAGAAUUCAUGAGAGACGUUUCACUGAUUACAUGGUCUUGUGGUAGUUAUGGUGGAAGACGGCGUACAAGAAGGAUGAGAUGUAAUCAAAGUUAUAUCAUCAUAAUUUAUGUUGUCGUCACAAUUCUUACUUUAUUUUGUAAUAUGAAACAUUGUUCUAUUCUAUUUAAUAAAAUUAAAAUAGUACUAGCAUUAAUUUCUUAUAUACAAAGUAGAAUGUUUAGACACUGCAAAUUGAGCAUUGUUCAAGCUGCUAUUCCAUUCUAGACCCCAACCACACCCUAACAUCCCCAAAUACUAAACUCAAUCCCACUCCUAACCCCUAAAUACUAAACCCUAAUCACUAAACUCAAACCCAAAUAUAAACCAUAAUAUAUAAUGUUUAACUAUAUUUAGUUACAAAUCAUAAAUACUAACAAACGUGAAACAACAAUUUGUACACACAAAUUACAAAAUAUAAGAUGUGCACAGAAAAAGUGGAUUAUUCUAUAGUCUUAAAAUAUGAAGCCACUGUAAACUAGAAUAGAACAUGAUAAAUAGUAAGUUUAAAAAAAAAACAUGAUAAAUAGUAUAUUACAUUGUAAAUGAACACGAUGAAUAGAGAAGUGUUCAAUUUGAGGACCAGACAGGUUGUUCUAUUUCAUAGAUAUAGUAUAGAUAUAUGUGAAUAAUAAGCGACAAUAUCUUAAAUAGUAUGAUACCAUUAUAAAUAUCUACACUAACAAAUAUACCAUGCUAUAACGUCCUUUCACUGGAAUAUAGUCUAGACGGCAAGUCAUUUCUUACAUAUCCUCUCUUUUCCGCCACAGCGAUACAAAUUCAUCGGCACCGUCGUUCUCUUCACCACCAGAUUUGCAUAACAAUCCUUAUUAAAUUUUGUUUGUCAAUUUUGAGUUGUCCAUCACCCAAACAUAGUUCGUCUCCCUAAAUUUAAAUAUAAAAACUUUCUUAACUCUUGUCUUCUUUUGAUUACAGAGGACGUAGGUAAGAAGAUGAAAGCAAUAUGACAAUUAUAUCCUUUAUUAAAACCGUACAUAAACUGGUAUACGUAUCAAAGUCGUGUGAAUCACGUGUGGCCUAGUAGCUUGUGUGUAUAGUUUUCUCUUGAAUAACUCGGGUUCGAGUGAAGGAAAAAGCAGUUUGAUGAAUUUUUGACCUGGGAGAGAAGAUAUUGUACAAGAUUUAGUGUGGAUUUUGUUUAGAUUUAGGAAAGAUAUCAACCAAAAUAUGGAAACUUCCAUAUCUUCGUUAUUUGGCUAUAAUAUGUAUCAUAUACUGUGCAGAACACUGUAGAGAGGGUGGGAAGUUUAUUCUUCUGUAGGCAUAAUAUAAAGUAAAAAGCAUAACAUGCUAUGACACAUAAACAAGAAAAAUGUAAAUCGUAAAGUCGUGGCUAUAAGUUGUAAUAAAACUACAAGUAGACUAACAACAUCUUGCUAGAAUAUAACCUAAUGAAUUCUAACUAAGAUAGAAUAUACAAGAAAGUUUUGUUAGCGUUACAUACCAAAGAUAGAUCUAUAUAUAAUACUUAUUAUAUGAUUUCUACAUUAAGUAGAUGACUAUAAUGAGUAUUAUAUCUCCAUCUAGAACAUAAGAUAAAGUAUGAUUAUACUAUUUUUUUAAAAGAAUUUUAAACAUAUAAAUAAUCAUACGUAAUUAUGUUUUUAAUAGUUUUCAUAUUUUUAUAUUUUUAAAUUUUAGUUUACUAUUUUCCGCAUUGCAAAAGAGCAAAAUCUGUCUAAAAUAACCAAAAAUAUCAAAAGUUUGAGAAUGUCUUUUUUUUUUUUUACAAUUUUCCUUUUUUUUCUUUUACAAUUUUCCCUUAUAUAAAGCUCAUGAUUGCAUAAGUAUUUAUUGUGGUUCAACCAUUUUAACCUCAGCAAGCAGAAUCACUAUUUAAACCUUCAGUCGUAGUAUCGAUAGAACUGUUUUAAAUAAGAAACAUCACAUGCAAUAUAAAUGUUCUAUACAGAAUUAAUGAUGACAUGAGCCAUAUAUAUACAUAAAAUAUCACAUCCAAAAUAAAGCCAAAGCACACAAGGCGGGGUGGGUGAUGGCUUAUUUCCUUCUCUAUAUAUACAAAUACUCCUUUCAGUUUUGUAUGUUUAAAGAAAAUAUUUCGCUGUAAAAUAAAUAAUGUUCUCAGUAUUUUAAAUACAUUUUUAAUCAUAUUUAAUAUCUAUGAUCAAUUAUGUAAUAUAUCACUUUUAUAGGUUGAAUUUAUUUUGUUUAAUAAUAUUUUAUGUUAAUAAGAUAAAUUAUAAAAACAUUCAUAUAUGAUUAAUUUGUAUGCAUCUUACCUAUUAAAAUAGAAAUAAUGACUUGUUAACAUGUAUGAUCUAUUAAGGGUGAGAAAAAGACCACAUGACCAUUAAUGAAGACCUUAAGAAGUAAAUUAAUUUUAGUGGCAUUUUAUGUAAUAAACACAUGAACAAAAUGUUAAUUUUAUAGUGUACUUCUAUUUUAAUAGAAUACUAGGUGAUCAUCCGCGUCCUGCGCGGGGUAAGAAAACUUAAAGAAAAUAUAAGUUUGAAUAUAUAGAUAUUAGAAAUGUAAAAGUCAUAGACACAAAUAUUACAUGUUAUUUAUGUUAAGGGAUUCAACGAAAUUGUGGAUAUGUAAAUAAAGUAAGCUUCAAAGUUUUUUAAAACUUAUGUUAUUUGUUUUGUGUGAUUGAAGUAUAGUUCGUGAAAAUGAAUCUAUAAGAGUAAACAAAAACUUAUAUAAAAUUAAUUAUGAAAUAAAAAUAAAACGAAACAUAGGCGAUAAAAAAAAAUAAAAUGUGAAAGCAUAUCCUAUAUAAUAAGGAAACAAAAUAAAUAAAUUAACUAAGAAAACUACGACUGCUGUGAAAAGUAUCUUCAAAACUCUUCGUUUACAAUCCUAUAAAGUCCGCCAUUGGUGUACUUCUAGUUUUGUUAAUGAUGAUUCAGAAAGAGUGAUGUGGUGAGGAGUUGUGUUGCAGACACUGCGUAUUUAUAUAGAGUUUUAAUGAUGAAAAAAAUAGCCAAAAUUAUAGUAGCAAAUAUUUACUAAUUAAUAUUUCUAUACUUGCCGUACAAUUUACUUUAAAACUGGUCUUUUCACAUGUUGUUUUAAAAAAUGCAGCUCUCAAAUUAGGUAAAAUUUGGAUCUUGAAUCGUAUAUGGAAACGUGUUUCUCAACGACUAUAAUUGAGGUAAAUUACUUGAUGGUUUUAAAAAUUCAUUUAGUGAAGAUUAUGAAUUGAUUAUAAACUUGAUAAAUAGUAUUGUACAUCAAGGUUUGCAUUAUGGCGAAAGAGAAUAUUCAGUAUCCAUAUUCUUAGGUAAUCCCAAAUAAAUUUAAUUUGUAAAAUAAGGAAAUCUGAGGAAAUAAAGUUAGCCGAUGGCAUUAAUAUGUUUGUAGUAUAUGACCAAAUAUUCACAUUCCCUAUAGCUUAUAAAUUACAAAUAUUUAUACCAUAAAUAAGGAAUUAAUUCAAACCAUAUAGAAAUAGCUUAAAUUUGGGACGUAUAAAAUAAGGAAAUCUGAGGAAGUAAACCUUGUCAAUCUAAGCAUUUAACUGUUUGUAGGCCAAGGGAAAAAUAUUGACUUGAUUUUCAAAAUCAUCGGAAGAAAAUCAAUUAUGAAUUGAUUCCACACUUGACUCCAAAAUUUAAGAUCUAAUUGAUACGUUUGUAAAAUCUAAACUGGUCAAAUCCUUGAUUUUCUUCUGAUGAUUUUGAUAAUUAAUAAUUUGAUUGUAUCAAUUAUGCAUUGUUUACGGAAAUGAUAAUUAAUCAUCGAAAGAAAGACAUAAUCAAAUAUUAUGAAUUGUUUACAGAAAUGUAAUGUAUUUUCCUAAAUUACUGUCGAUCUUAAUUGUUUUUCUAACCAAGAUUAAUAAUUUUGAACAUAUAUGUAGUUUCAAAUAUUGCAUAGUUUUAUGAUUGGUCGAAAUAUUUCAUAGAUUUAUGCAUAAUUUCAUAAUUUGAUCAUGAUCUUCGAAGUAUUAAAAUAUUAAAAAAACAAAUUGAUUUUAAAGAAUUCUUAGUUUAAUAUAUUGUUCACUUCAUAGCUUUGUUAUAAAUAUUUUUAAAGCAAUAUAUUACAUGUUUGAGAAUUAUUUUUUCGAAUCUGAUGUAAAAUGGUUGCACUUAGUCUGUCACAAAAUCAAACGAUCUCUUCAACGAAUAUCUGUCACAGUAUUUUGAAAAAGAGUAUUGAAUUAAAUAUUGUUCACUUCAUAAAUCUGUUAUAUAUAUUUUUUAAAAGCAAUAUAUGAUAUGGUCACGCAAAUUUAAUGUAAAAAUAUCCUCCAUUGCAAAAAAUAUGUAUAAAUCAACGAUGGACAAUCAUGUAUUUGUAAUAACUUUGACGUGUUGAAACCGUAUUCAAAUAACAACGAUGCAAUAUCCGUUAAAUCCCUUAUAUAGGAAACUCCUCUUUUCAUGUCAAUUUUGUUUCCUAUAUCACGCUAACAUUGCCAUUGACAAUAAUUUAUUUGAUCUUGUGAUUGACAAUUCAAAUUUGAAUAAUAUAUUAUGGGAAAAAUCGAAAUGGUAAUGUAUUAAAUUGUGUUGCCUUGAAUCUAAACUAUCAUAAAAUGAUCGUCGACUACAAUUAAAUUGAUAAUUAUGGAAACAAUAAACAUGGUUAACAUGCAAUGGAGGAGAUUUGAAACUAUUAUUAGCUCUUAAAAUAUAAUAUAUUGGGUCGUUUUAUGUCAUUUAAAAAAUAGUGUACGUAUAUAUCUAUUACAUUUUUCCCUUAUGUAGUAAUUCUUGAACAUUGCGAUUGUGAUUGGUAUCUUUAUCUAAUAUGGAGAAGAGUUGCAGCAACAUAUAUAUAAGUAGAUAUGUAGAUACAUACGUAGACAAUGGAUUUUAUGUAGUCUAGCUAUAUAGAAAGACAUUAAUAUUUAAGUCAGGCUAUAUAUCGAUCAUUAUGAAGAAUCUCAGGUUAUGGCAAUAAAAUCUCUGCGUAUUUAAAGAUCCAACCGUUUGUAAUUGAAGCGUAGCAAACAUGGCGCGGGUUUGUUUGUUUUGUUAGUCAAUAAGCUUAUAGUAUAUACCCAAUUUUUAAUGUAAUGUUCAAUGGAAAAUUUUGCAAUUAGUCUAGUUAAGAAAGAGUUUUUGAAUAUAUGAGGUGAAAGAGCUUGUGGUGCUGACGCGUAGGAAAUGACGCACAUGUAAUAAACACAUGAAUGAAAGGUUAUUUAUAUACAAUGUUCCUCAAAUAAUAAAAAAGGAUAGAAUAGAUGACUUGUAUAUUUAUGUAAGGCCCAUUUUUCAUUUGUAAUGUUUGAAUUCAAUUACAUAUAAUUAUAGAAAAGAUAUAUUUUACUAAUAUAUUUUCAAAUCUAACGUACAGUAUUACAAACACAUAUCAAUGUCAUCUGUUUUAUAUUCAAUAGUUCAUUUUAUCGUAUACACAAAUAACUAACUCUAAAUGAUUAAAAUAGAUAAGAUGUAUAUGAAUAUUAUAAAACUAUCAUGAAAUACAAAUAAAUUACUAAAAUUAUAAGAUAUUUAUUUUAUUACUUAUAAUUUUAGAUAGGAUAUUUAAAUAAUUUAUCAGUUAGAUAAAAAACAAUUUUCUAUUUUUAUUGAACAUCGUAUAUAUUAAUUCGUCUAAUAAUUAAACGCAAAUCCAGUGAAAUAAGUAUACAAUAAGAAGCUACAAAUACAUAUGACGGUUUGAAUAAUUAAUUGGAUGGAAAACAUAUAAAAUAUUGCAUCACGGUAUUAGAGAAAGUCAUAUAAACAUUUUAAAAUAUGCUUAAUAUUAAAAAUAUAUACCACUAAUGAUUAAAAAUAAAAUUUAUAUGUAAAAAAUGAAAGCAAAUAUCGACGUGGUUUUGGGAGAGCCCAGCAUCAGGUAGAAAGCCCGAAGUCUUACUGUGUUGAAUUCUGCUCAAAGUGAGUUUUGCCUACUAUCAUCCAAUAUUUGUCAAAUUUAAGAAGGGAGAAUUGCCAAGUGUGACUCAAAACUUGGAGUCAAACCCAAAACAAUACCCCAACUUGGGUCAAAGGCAAAAGUAACCUAAAAGGCUAUUGAA
Brassica napus (rape) is the source of this 14345-nucleotide long non-coding RNA. RefSeq lists it as uncharacterized. The transcript is spliced from 4 exons. The record is from RefSeq and is a predicted model, not a curated record. Lineage: Eukaryota; Viridiplantae; Streptophyta; Magnoliopsida; Brassicales; Brassicaceae.